CCUUGACAGUUACAAAAAGUGACUGACAUUUGCCAAGACAAGGAGAUUGACAUG
This 54-nucleotide non-coding RNA is filed under the name unclassified sequences. The record is from Rfam.